RNAcentral lists this unclassified non-coding RNA (217 nucleotides) under Glomus sp. Its description in RNAcentral is "partial contains 5.8S ribosomal RNA and internal transcribed spacer 2". The stretch from base 1 to 72 matches the Rfam family "5.8S ribosomal RNA", at positions 84 to 154 of the family's 154-position model. The record is from RNAcentral. Lineage: Eukaryota; Fungi; Glomeromycota; Glomeromycetes; Glomerales; Glomeraceae.
GUGAAUCAUCGAAUCUUUGAACGCAAAUUGCACUCUCCGGUUUUCCGGGAGAGUAUGCCUGUUUGCGGGUCUGUUUAAAAAAUAAUCGAGGCUGCUGCUGUGGUUGCUCUUCGGAAUUGGGCCAUCUUUCACCUUUCGGUUGUAAGCGACCUAACAUUUUUUUUACGAUUUCUACGAACGUUUCCAAUAAUUUCCUGUACGUUCACGACAUCGAAAA